CGGUGGGACUCUGCUGGCGUCGCUGGCGCGAUGCGAGCUCGUCGAGAGAGGAGGGGGCGGGGGUGCGGGUUCAUGCCGGGGCGGGUCCGAGGACAAGAGGCUCGCCGCGUUCAGACGUGCGUUCAAGCGCGCGUCGCUGCGAUGGCACCCGGACAAGUUCGAGGGUAAGUUCGGCGGCGCGCUCUGCGACGAUGUGUGUGGCGACGAUGAUGACGGGAUGGUCAGGACGGGCGGGACGGGCGGGACGGGCGGGGAAGGACGGGGGGAGACGCACGCGCAGCACAUCAGGCGCAGGGUGCGGUGCAUCGCGCAGGAGAUCAACGAUGCGUGGAGCGCCAUCGUUGCGUGAGUUCCCGAGUAGAACCGAGUAGAACCGGUUGGUUUUCGGCCCGGUUCGGCCCGGGGAAUAUCGUGAGCAAAAAACGUGGUUCGCCGAGGUAAACAGUGACAGUUGGCCAUCGAGAUUCGAUAUUCACUUUACCCUUUGGCGGACAUGUGUCAUUUGAGUGCCGUCCCGAACUUUCCCCGAGUGCCGUCCAGAUCACCACACGGCGGAUCAGUCUGCCGAUUUCGAAAGGCUCAGAUAUUUUGCAGAAGUCCAUCUGUUCAGAUAUUUAUCUCGGAUAGGGACAGAUUCCUUUCCACCCGCUCCGCCCAAUCAAUGAGUUACAGACCAUCCCUUUUUGCGAACUUUCCCG
RNAcentral lists this long non-coding RNA (698 nucleotides) under Micromonas commoda. RNAcentral's name for it is "long non-coding RNA (MCOM_LNC000170)". The record is from RNAcentral. Lineage: Eukaryota; Viridiplantae; Chlorophyta; Mamiellophyceae; Mamiellales; Mamiellaceae.